This 1254-nucleotide long non-coding RNA is filed under the name Monodelphis domestica (gray short-tailed opossum). RNAcentral's name for it is "lncRNA (ENSMODG00000030595.2)". Lineage: Eukaryota; Metazoa; Chordata; Mammalia; Didelphimorphia; Didelphidae. The record is from RNAcentral.
UGUCUUCCCCAGUCCUUAGCACAUUGUUCUGCACAUAUUAGGUUUUUGAUAUAUACAUAUUGAUAGGGGAAAGAGAGAUGGACUUUCUAUCAGCUCUCAGGACAAGGGAGUGAUUGAGAGGAGAAUUUUUCUUUGGUUAAAUAAUUUUCUACCAGUCCUGAAGGCAUAAAAGGAAAUGCUUGGGAUUAAGGUGUGAACUAGGUUCAUCUUCAUUGUUACAUGGUCAAAUAAAUCUAUAUUUGCUUUUCCAUGAAUCUUAUCUCUGCUCUAAUGUGGAUUGCUUUGCAUGCUGUAAUAAUCUUGAUUUAUAAUAAUGCCUCCUAUCUCUGUAUUAUUGCCAUUCUAAGAAAAUGUCACAUUUUCUUCACUUUCAAAAGAGAAAUACAGAGAUCAGAGAGAGCCUACAUUGGAUCCUAGGUGUUAGAGAAAACAGAAUUUACAUGUAGCAAUCCAGGAAGUUUCCAAGGCAACACCAGCUUCUUAUGACAUCCUAAGAGAGGUCAUAAUUGUGGCAGGCAUGUCAACAUUGCUGGUUAAGCCUGUAACACCCUUUUUGGUUAGGAUGUGAACAUCAUGGCCUCACCUUUGGAUUCCAAAGCAGAUUCGACACAAGAGUUCUUAAAAAAACAGUACUUUUAUUGGCUUCUCAUCCUUUGGCAACAGCACACUCAUAUGCAGCUUGUUGAUUUGGCUGAAUCCUUCAUUCAGGAGCUUGGUGUUGCUCUCUGUGUGGCUCCUCCUGCAGUUCUUGGCUUCCAGAAGUCAACUCUAGGCAGUGCUCUCAGGAAAGCCGUGCUGAGAAGGAAACAAUGCUAUUUGGAGGGAUCCCCUGUUUCCAUACAUAUUUUCUCCAUUUUCCAUCUUUGAAUCUUCCCUGGGUUCCUGACAGCUCCAACAGAGGCAUUGUUGAUGAGUUAUGGCAGGUCUAGCCUGGAGUUGCAGAAGAAGACUUGGAAGUGGUGGUUGAAUGAGAGCUGUGUAACCAGGACCAUGGAGAGCCAAACAGUCUACCUUUUAGCUAUGAUCUUUGUUUCUGUUCUUAUGUCACCCUCCUCAUAUCUGCUUCCCGUACUUACCCUUCUCAUUGUCCCUUUAAGCUCUUUUCUUAGUCUUCUCUUCAUUGAAUAUAACCUUCAUUUUUCAUAGUAACUUACUCUGUCUCUAUAAAUGUGAAAAGAAAACACAACUCCUUCCCUUCCCUUCACAAACACCCCAUACAAUAAAAAAUCUUUGUAGGUUGUAUGCUUUUUAACU